Cyprinus carpio carpio is the source of this 471-nucleotide long non-coding RNA. The record is from Ensembl. NCBI's taxonomy places the organism in Eukaryota, Metazoa, Chordata, Actinopteri, Cypriniformes, Cyprinidae.
GGGAGUGGCUUCUUCUUAACCCAACACGAGAGACACUGAUAACAAGUCUUUCAUCUUGUGCCAUCUGGGGGCUAUAUAGGUGGACACAGUUGUCUGUCAGUAGAGUGGAGCUAUUGUGACAGCUUCCUGCCAGGUUCAGCAAGCAAUCAGGGGAAACGCACGACUGCUCAGAUAAAGUGAGGGCACACAAUACCUAUUGUGUCCUAAUUGCGGGUCAAACUAUUACCCAAAUGGAAUGUUUUUCAGCUGAAGAAUGAAGACUGUCGCUAAAAAGGCUUACAAAUUCCAACCGCAAGGUCAGAAAAACAAGAAAGCGUGGAUGAGAAGAACAAAACAGGCUAGAGGAAAUGGAUUCUAGCCAAAGGCAAACAAACAAGUGACAAUGGCUUUAAAUGAAUUACCUUGACCUUGUGCGGUCAACAGCAUUUCGAGUUUAAGUUCAGUGUUAUGAGGAAAGUAUUUGAAAGGGUG